UUUUUAACAGUGCAAUGAUAUUGAACCCAAGGCACCGGAAUGAUUGUUGAAGCUGCACGCCGCUGCUAAUCUGCCGUCGGUCUCCUCUGCUCUGGUUCCAGAGUUUGAGAACUGUUUGAAAAAGGAAACUUCCAAGUUCCAAACACUUUAUCAGCAAUUUUGCAAGGAAAAAGCAACCCAUUUGCAGGCGUUGAAAGAUACCAUUUCCAAGUUUGAAGAAGAGAAGUAAAGGCUUUUAAAGUGAUAUGAACAAAUGAGGAAGAAAGAAAAGAGUAUGAUGUCAGACCAUGAGAAAGCUUGCGGAGAUAAGAUUACUCGAUUGGAGGAGUCUCUGAAAAAGGAAAACUCAGGACGACAAAACUUUUAGCAUUUUGAGGAAAACUCUGGGUUCCCUUUUCGAGAAUGCCUCAGAUGAUGAUUUCCCACCUGAUGAUUAAAGCUUUGCUUCAGUGUUGGCAUCACAGAGAAAAGGCAAAACAUUGAAAGAGGGGAAAGGUUGCUGUCUUGGAACUGGCAGUUGAUGUGUACGCUAUUGAGUUUGUAAGAUUCAUCACAUUUAUUAGGUAUUGUUCCUUUUUUUUGUAUCUGUUAUAGUAUGUUGCUUUAUUGGUAAGUUAAAAUCUUCAUAAUUUUGUUAUGUUAUGACACGAGUGUUAAUCUUAGUACUCACAUUCACAAUGUAAAUCACCAAUGCCUUUUUUUUUUAAGAAAAAAAACAUUUAUUUUUAGCAUGAGUUAUAUAUGAUUAUGAAACUAUAUAUAUUCCUUGUUCUGAUGUUUCGCUAGUAGUUGAGCGAUAUAGGACAUGGUGGGGAAGGAGAAUAAAGAAGAUGAUUGGAGAGGAGAAUAGUAGAAAAAGAGGAAUUUAUAAAGAAAUAACAGAAUCAGUAGAAAAUAUAGAUGAAAGAAGAAUUAUAGUGGUAGAAGAGAAUGACGAGAGGAAAUCUGAAUAAUUUGUACUGUAUAUAUUUACAUGCACUACAAAUUUAUAUUCUCUUUCAGGUCUUGAGAAUAAAAUUAAUAACUUAAGAUUAUUUUUUAUGAGAGAAAAUGAGUGUUGGAAAGAUAAAUAGAGAU
Molecule: long non-coding RNA, 1077 nt
Organism: Humulus lupulus (European hop)
Lineage: Eukaryota; Viridiplantae; Streptophyta; Magnoliopsida; Rosales; Cannabaceae
Exons: 6
Source: RefSeq, a predicted model, not a curated record